Molecule: unclassified non-coding RNA, 198 nt
Filed under: rhizosphere metagenome
Description: partial ribosomal RNA internal transcribed spacer region
Source: RNAcentral
GAGACUGGGUGCUUCGGCGCCCGACCUCCAACCCCCUGUCUACCUUACCACUGUUGCCUCGGCGUUUCUGCCCACUCCUCCUCGCAGGGGGGUGGGUUGUGCGCCGGCGGCCAAAAACAAAAACCCUUUUUCAAACCAAGCAAUCUGAGAAAUUAUUUUAAUAACUUCAAAACUUUCAACAACGGAUCUCUUGGUUCU